UACGGAGGGGGCUAGCGUUGUUCGGAAUUACUGGGCGUAAAGCGCGCGUAGGCGGACCUGCAAGUCGGGGGUGAAAGCCCGAGGCUCAACCUCGGAACUGCCUUCGAUACUGCGGGUCUCGAGUCCGGGAGAGGUGAGUGGAAUUCCUAGUGUAGAGGUGAAAUUCGUAGAUAUUAGGAAGAACACCAGUGGCGAAGGCGGCUCACUGGCCCGGUACUGACGCUGAGGCGCGAAAGCGUGGGGAGCAAACAG
Molecule: ribosomal RNA, 252 nt
Filed under: uncultured bacterium
Lineage: Bacteria
Description: partial 16S ribosomal RNA
Rfam family: Bacterial small subunit ribosomal RNA
Source: RNAcentral